RNAcentral lists this ribosomal RNA (245 nucleotides) under uncultured bacterium. RNAcentral's name for it is "partial 16S ribosomal RNA". It matches the Rfam family "Bacterial small subunit ribosomal RNA", at positions 524 to 768 of the family's 1533-position model. The record is from RNAcentral.
AACGUAGGUGGCAAGCGUUAUCCGGAUUCACUGGGCGUAAAGCGUGCGCAGGCGGCUGUGUAAGUCAGAUGUAAAAUAUCCCGGCUUAACUGGGAAAGACCAUCUGAUACUGCACGGCUUGAGGACAGCAGAGGGAGGUAGAAUUCCCGGUGUAGUGGUGGAAUGCGUAGAUAUCGGGAGGAAUACCAGUGGCGAAAGCGGCCUUCUGGGCUGCACCUGACGCUGUUGCACGAAAGCGUGGGGAG